CCCAAGUAAUCUUUGGAAAAAUCCAGAUCCCACUUGGCUGUGGCUCUUUUUGAGACCUGAAUUGGAAUCCGAAUCCUUUGGCGUCUCCACUUGAAUUCCACCUUCUGAGAAAAAUGUAAAUAACAACAACAUAAACCCUUACAUAAGAUUUAGCGUAAGGGGGGAGCUUCCAGGAAUGGUGAGACGGUGCCCUUCCCCCUGUUCACUCUGUCCUGCGUAAUGGAGCUGAUGGUCUGGUGGUGGGAUUCUGGCACUUACGCUGAGCAGGACCCAGGACACAGAUACAGUCUCUGCUGGGUGGGGUGUGAAGGAUGUGUAGUUAGGAACGACUAGAAGGAAAGUUUCUAGGAGGAGGGGCCAGAGACAGGCAGAGCCAGCCUGAGAAGAGCCUUGAGCCUUGAGAAGCCCAAAAGGUUGGGCCUAUGCCCGUGAGCUGGGGAAGCUGGCAGAGAGCAUCAGCAAGACAGUGGAUGGGCAGAGCUGGGCGGUAGACGGAUAAGGCACACCGCAAGCUCCCCCUCGCCCCCUCUGCAAACAUUAGUGGCCUCUCCCUUGGGCUUUGCACUUGCGAAUCAAGAGGGGGGACAGAGACCACCCUGGGCCCCAUCACCCCUCACCAGGAUCGGCUGCUUGGCAGUGGGCCGACAUGUCCACGGGGCCGCGAGGCCUGCUCGUUGCACCCUCAAGGAGCUCUGAUGAAUAACAGAUUUGUAUCAUUUGCUUUGUUUUGCUUCAUUCCUAGAAGGCAGCCAGGGAAUAAAUAUUUGCUGGGUGAAUGCAUGGACCCUAUUUCCCUAAAAAAACUCCCCUACCAGUGCGCCCCGAGAUACCCAAAAGGCAAAACCAGAAGGAGUUCAGUGCGGGUUUUGUCAAGUUGGUGGGGUCUCUGGCAGGGUCGUAAUGAUAGUUAAUACUUGCGGAGUCCCUACUUCGUCCUAGGCCUGGAUUGUUCCAUGGGAUCCUGACGGCAACCGGUGUGCUAUACACUCUGACCAAGCCCGUUUGCCGAGGAGACACGGAGGCCCCGGUGGGUGAAGUCACUGGCCCAAGGUUGCACACUCAGCGGUGGGGUCAGGACCUGCAGCCAGGUGGGGUCACCCCGCAGAGCGCCACGAAGAACGUGAGGACCGUGCUGCCUUUGCGCCCGCUCUACCAUAGCACGACGGAGGAAAGCCCCGUGGAGAUGAGAAAGAUCUUGCCGUCGGCCCGCUCUGCUGGAUUUUACGAGAAGGUGCGGCAACUUGCCGAGUCCUGUCCCUCUGCCGGCCGGCGCCGAGCACCCAGGCUCGUGGGGCUGACACUGCUCAGCUGGAUGGUUCCAGAAGUGGCCGCCACCUCGAUUUGAGGAAGAGCUGGACGGAAAAUUUGGGAAGGAGCAGUAUUUUCUUCCACGGCUUGGGCACCAUUUUUGCUUUCUACAAAAAUACACUUUGCUAUAUUUAGGCAGUGCCAUUAACAGGACUCUCUCUCUCUUUUCCCUCAAGAAUGUUUGUCAGUUUGUUUUUGUCAUUUGAUAUUUUUCGGCUACCACCUGGGGAAAUCAUCAAGCACUCACAUUCCUGAAUCAACUUUUCCUGCUGUUCGCUAAUUAAAAUAAACCUCUGGCCAAAUCACCA
Molecule: long non-coding RNA, 1616 nt
Organism: Ursus maritimus (polar bear)
Lineage: Eukaryota; Metazoa; Chordata; Mammalia; Carnivora; Ursidae
Source: Ensembl